Molecule: ribosomal RNA, 497 nt
Filed under: uncultured bacterium
Lineage: Bacteria
Description: partial 16S ribosomal RNA
Rfam family: Bacterial small subunit ribosomal RNA
Source: RNAcentral
GAUGAACGCUGGCGGCGUGCCUAAUACAUGCAAGUCGAGCGAACAGACGAGUAGCUUGCUCCUCUGAUGUUAGCGGCGGACGUGUGAGUAACACGUUGAUCACCUAACUAUAAGACUGGGAUAACUUCGUGAAACCGGAGCUAAUACCGGAUAACCUUUUGAACCGCAUGGUUCAACAUUUAAAGACGGUCCUUCUGUCACUUAUAGAUGGAUCCGCGCCGCAUUAGCUAGUUGGUAAGGUAACGGCUUACCAAGGCAACGAUGCGUAGCCGACGUGAGAGGGUGAUCGGCCACACUGGAACUGAGACACGGUCCAGACUCCUACGGGAGGCAGAAGUAGGGAAGCGUCCGAAAUGGGCGAAAGACUGACGGAGCAACGCCGCGUGAGUGAAGAAGGUCUUCGGAGCGUAAAACUCUGUUAUUAGGGAAGAACAAAUGUGUAAGUAACUAUGCACGUCUUGACGGUACCUAAUCAGAAAGCAACGGCUAACUACGUG